Molecule: ribosomal RNA, 253 nt
Filed under: uncultured bacterium
Lineage: Bacteria
Description: partial 16S ribosomal RNA
Rfam family: Bacterial small subunit ribosomal RNA
Source: RNAcentral
UACGUAGGGUGCGAGCGUUGUCCGGUAUUAUUGGGCGUAAAGCGCUUGUAGGCGGUCUGUCGCGUCUGCUGUGAAAAUCCGGGGCUCAACCCCGGACUUGCAGUGGGUACGGGCAGACUAGAGUGUGGUAGGGGAGACUGGAAUUCCUGGUGUAGCGGUGGAAUGCGCAGAUAUCAGGAGGAACACCGAUGGCGAAGGCAGGUCUCUGGGCCAUUACUGACACUGAGAAGCGAAAGCAUGGGGAGCGAACAGG